This is a long non-coding RNA of Maniola jurtina (meadow brown), 509 nucleotides long. RefSeq lists it as uncharacterized. The transcript is spliced from 2 exons. Lineage: Eukaryota; Metazoa; Arthropoda; Insecta; Lepidoptera; Nymphalidae. The record is from RefSeq and is a predicted model, not a curated record.
CAUGAGUAGUUGAAAUGGCGUAAGAAGUCAUUUUGUACGGACUAUACCAAAAUACAAGUUUCAAUGUGUUCAAAAAUUUGCUAAGCUAUGCGGACUUUUUUAGUAAGGACACCUUUUGGCAAAUUAUGAGGGUGAUUAAUGUCAAUUCUAAUAGAAAAAAAAUUGUUCAUGAAUCAUGGGAAUCAUGUUGCUGUAUUUUCAUCAAAGUUUAAGAAUUUGAAGAGUUGGUAAUUUUGGCUAUUAAAUCCACGAUUGAUUUUGUUCAUAAACGAUGGCAGGCGGAGUAGAAGAUAACCCGAAUUUAAAAGGCUUAAGCCGGUAUUUCAACAGCGAAACAAAUAGGGGACGAGCUAACGUUUCAAAAGUAACUCUAGGAAGUUUAGCUUUGUAUUACAUUUACCACAAACUUUUCAAGAGCGGAAAGAAGAAGCCGUCCACCGCUAACUGACAAAUUUUUAAUUCAUUUACAUCUAGUUACAUUUCAAUAAGUAACAUUUUUAAAUUUUAAA